GGUCUGGGCUGGGCUGGGCU
Molecule: microRNA, 20 nt
Filed under: Macrophomina phaseolina MS6
Lineage: Eukaryota; Fungi; Ascomycota; Dothideomycetes; Botryosphaeriales; Botryosphaeriaceae
Description: miR-1587
Source: RNAcentral